GAUGAACGCUAGCGGCAGGCUUAAUACAUGCAAGUCGUGGGGCAGCAGGUUUGUAGCAAUACAGAUGCUGGCGACCGGCAAACGGGUGCGGAACACGUACAGAACCUUCCUUUGAGCGGGGAAUAGCCCAGAGAAAUUUGGAUUAAUACCCCAUAGUAUAAUGAAGUGGCAUCACUUUAUUAUUAAAGAUUUAUCACUCGAAGAUGGCUGUGCGGCUGAUUAGGUAGUUGGCGGGGUAAAGGCCCACCAAGCCUGCGAUCAGUAACUGGUGUGAGAGCACGACCAGUCACACGGGCACUGAGACACGGGCCCGACUCCUACGGGAGGCAGCAGUAAGGAAUAUUGGUCAAUGGAGGCAACUCUGAACCAGCCAUGCCGCGUGGAGGAUGAAGGUCCUCUGGGUUGUAAACUUCUUUUAUAUGGGACGAAAAAAGGCUUAAUCU
This 443-nucleotide ribosomal RNA is filed under the name uncultured bacterium. Its description in RNAcentral is "bacterial SSU rRNA". It matches the Rfam family "Bacterial small subunit ribosomal RNA", at positions 28 to 463 of the family's 1533-position model. The record is from RNAcentral.